RNAcentral lists this non-coding RNA (149 nucleotides) under Morus notabilis. Its description in RNAcentral is "Bacterial small subunit ribosomal RNA". It matches the Rfam family "Bacterial small subunit ribosomal RNA", at positions 197 to 347 of the family's 1533-position model. Lineage: Eukaryota; Viridiplantae; Streptophyta; Magnoliopsida; Rosales; Moraceae. The record is from Rfam by way of RNAcentral.
GGAGCAAAAGGAGGAAUCCGCCCGAGGAGGGGCUCGUGUCUGAUUAGCUAGUUGGUGAGGCAAUAGCUUACCAAGGCGAUGAUCAGUAGUUGGUCCGAGAGGAUGAUCAACCACACUGAACUGAGACACGGCCCAGACUCCUACGGGAA